UCCGGGGCUCAGCCUUUUAGAUUCAUUGUAUGCAGUAUCGGACGUCUCUUCUUGUCCGGUGGUUUCCAUGGACGCAGCUGUCACGUUCGCCGUGGGGCCUGCAGCAGUGUUUUUCGACGCCUCCUGAUGCACCAAACGAGACGCUACGUCCAGAAUACAGGAGGACGAGAUCAGGAUGAUGCAUAACCAAAAGAUUGGCUUCAGUGUCCCUCUUAUUUCCUUCUGCUACUUCCAACUU
Molecule: long non-coding RNA, 238 nt
Filed under: Elaeis guineensis (African oil palm)
Lineage: Eukaryota; Viridiplantae; Streptophyta; Magnoliopsida; Arecales; Arecaceae
Description: long non-coding RNA (EGUI_LNC003550)
Source: RNAcentral